UACGUAGGGGGCGAGCGUUGUCCGGAAUCAUUGGGCGUAAAGCGCGUGUAGGCGGCCCGGUAAGUCCGCUGUGAAAGUCCAGGGCUCAACCCUGGGAUGCCGGUGGAUACUGUCGGGCUCGAGUCCGGAAGAGGCGAGUGGAAUUCCUGGUGUAGCGGUGAAAUGCGCAGAUAUCAGGAGGAACACCAAUAGCGAAGGCAGCUCGCUGGGACGUGACUGACGCUGAGACGCGAAAGCGUGGGGAGCAAACAGG
This 253-nucleotide ribosomal RNA is filed under the name uncultured bacterium. RNAcentral's name for it is "partial 16S ribosomal RNA". It matches the Rfam family "Bacterial small subunit ribosomal RNA", at positions 524 to 776 of the family's 1533-position model. The record is from RNAcentral.